AUUGAACGCUGGCGGCAGGCCUAACACAUGCAAGUCGAAUGGUAACAGGAAACAGCUUGCUGCUUCGCUGACGAGUGGCGGACGGGUGAGUAAUGUCUGGGAAACUGCCUGAUGGAGGGGGAUAACUACUGGAAACGGUAGCUAAUACCGCAUAACGUCGCAAGACCAAAGAGGGGGACCUUCGGGCCUCUUGCCAUCAGAUGUGCCCAGAUGGGAUUAGCUAGUAGGUGGGGUAACGUCUCACCUAGGCGACGAUCCCUAGCUGGUCUGAGAGGAUGACCAGCCACACUGGAACUGAGACACGGUCCAGACUCCUACGGGAGGCAGCAGUGGGGAAUAUUGCACAAUGGGCGCAAGCCUGAUGCAGCCAUGCCGCGUGUAUGAAGAAGGCCUUCGGGUUGUAAAGUACUUUCAGCGGGGAGGAAGGGAGUAAAGUUAAUACCUUUGCUCAUUGACGUUACCCGCAGAAGAAGCACCGGCUAACUCCGUG
RNAcentral lists this ribosomal RNA (490 nucleotides) under uncultured bacterium. RNAcentral's name for it is "partial 16S ribosomal RNA". It matches the Rfam family "Bacterial small subunit ribosomal RNA", at positions 30 to 507 of the family's 1533-position model. The record is from RNAcentral.